AAACAUAUAGCAUAUUAUCUUGUGCUUUAUUAUAUUCAAUUAAAUUGGAAUAAGUAAGAUAUGAACCCAAAUCCAUAUCAAAACAUAAAAGGUUGUUUGAUUGGAUCCUUCUUAAUCAGAAUUAGCGUAGAGAUCUAUCAAAUUCUGAUAUUCAGAACACAAAUAAAUACUGGAAAAAAAAAAGAGAAAAAUCCCAUUUCGAACAUAAAUUUUCAUUUUUAUGAUUUUACUCAUCAACUAUGAAUUCCACUUCCUUUAUCAGACCCGCUAAUCAAUCCUUCUCUUCUCAGCUUCUCUUCCUUGGAUUUUCUACAAAAAAUAAUCCAAGAAUUCACCUCCAAAGCUAUACAAGCACCCACCAAUGUAGACAAGCACAAGCAAUAUCCCAACUUAGGAUAAGACCCGCUCUCUCCCAUUACUUCAAAUCCUUGAAAAACAUUCACAACUCCAAGCACCACACAAGCAUACCCUACAAAAUGGUGGUAAGAUUUCCAAUACUUUCUAUACUUGUUUGUAGUCUUUGGCCUAAACAG
Molecule: unclassified non-coding RNA, 533 nt
Filed under: Hevea brasiliensis (rubber tree)
Lineage: Eukaryota; Viridiplantae; Streptophyta; Magnoliopsida; Malpighiales; Euphorbiaceae
Source: RNAcentral